This 450-nucleotide ribosomal RNA is filed under the name uncultured bacterium. RNAcentral's name for it is "partial 16S ribosomal RNA". It matches the Rfam family "Bacterial small subunit ribosomal RNA", at positions 354 to 796 of the family's 1533-position model. The record is from RNAcentral.
GUGGGGAAUUUUGGACAAUGGGCGCAAGCCUGAUCCAGCAAUGCCGCGUGCAGGAAGAAGGCCUUCGGGUUGUAAACUGCUUUUGUACGGAACGAAACGGUCCUGGCUAAUAUCCGGGGCUAAUGACGGUACCGUAAGAAUAAGCACCGGCUAACUACGUGCCAGCAGCCGCGGUAAUACGUAGGGUGCGAGCGUUAAUCGGAAUUACUGGGCGUAAAGCGUGCGCAGGCGGUGCUGUAAGACAGGCGUGAAAUCCCCGGGCUCAACCUGGGAAUUGCGCUUGUGACUGCAGUGCUGGAGUGCGGCAGAGGGGGAUGGAAUUCCGCGUGUAGCAGUGAAAUGCGUAGAUAUGCGGAGGAACACCGAUGGCGAAGGCAGCCUCCUGGGAUAACACUGACGCUCAGGCACGAAAGCGUGGGGAGCAAACAGGAUUAGAUACCCCGGUAGUCC